UGGGGAAUAUUGGACAAUGGGGGAAACCCUGAUCCAGCAAUGCCGCGUGAGUGAAGAAGGCCUUAGGGUUGUAAAGCUCUUUCAGCGGGGAAGAUGAUGACGGUACCCGCAGAAGAAGCCCCGGCUAACUCCGUGCCAGCAGCCGCGGUAAUACGGAGGGGGCUAGCGUUGUUCGGAAUUACUGGGCGUAAAGCGCACGUAGGCGGUGGCGCAUGUCAGAUGUGAAAGCCCUGGGCUUAACCUAGGAAUUGCAUUUGAAACUGCGUCGCUAGAGGCCGGAAGAGGGUAGUGGAAUUCCCAGUGUAGAGGUGAAAUUCGUAGAUAUUGGGAAGAACACCGGUGGCGAAGGCGGCUACCUGGUCCGGUUCUGACGCUGAGGUGCGAAAGCGUGGGGAGCAAA
Molecule: ribosomal RNA, 400 nt
Filed under: uncultured bacterium
Lineage: Bacteria
Description: bacterial SSU rRNA
Rfam family: Bacterial small subunit ribosomal RNA
Source: RNAcentral